Non-coding RNA from Lupinus albus (white lupine), 432 nucleotides. The record is from the annotation of a GenBank genome assembly. Lineage: Eukaryota; Viridiplantae; Streptophyta; Magnoliopsida; Fabales; Fabaceae.
UUGAUAGUAAUCAGAGUUAAAGUACAAAUUUGGUAGGAAUUCAAUAACUCUAUGCAAGGGGAAGUGUUGUUAUUGUGAAUGCUGCAGAGAGUGCAAGCGAUAGAAGAAAAAAACAGUUUCAGUCCAGGCAAGCUCUGCAGUUCCUAGUAACUUUAAUGUGAAGAGACAAAUCCUUUAUAUUUUAGGACAUGCCAUAUGAAUCAAACUUGAACCCACCUUGUCAGAUAUGCUGAUGGUAGGUUUUGGUUCCCAAACAAAGGAGUCUAUUUUGUUGUUGUUGAUUGUGUCCUUAUUGAGAAUUUAGUGGAAUUGAAAGAGAAUACUAAAAUUCCUUAUAUAUAAAAACAACAGAUGAAGUGGGGGGAAGCCCCUUUGAUAUCUUGAGAACUCAAUGUAUUGGUACUAAAUUCAUAAAUUUACCAUGGCUUACUC